GACGAACGCUGGCGGCGUGCUUAACACAUGCAAGUCGAACGGAAAGGCCCUGCUUUUGUGGGGUGCUCGAGUGGCGAACGGGUGAGUAACACGUGAGUAACCUGCCCUUGACUUUGGGAUAACUUCAGGAAACUGGGGCUAAUACCGGAUAGGAGCUCCUGCUGCAUGGUGGGGGUUGGAAAGUUUCGGCGGUUGGGGAUGGACUCGCGGCUUAUCAGCUUGUUGGUGGGGUAGUGGCUUACCAAGGCUUUGACGGGUAGCCGGCCUGAGCGGGUGACCGGCCACAUUGGGACUGAGAUACGGCCCAGACUCCUACGGGAGGCAGCAGUGGGGAAUAUUGCACUAUGGGCGGAAGCCUGAUGCAGCAACGCCGCGUGCGGGAUGACGGCCUUCGGGUUGUAAACCGCUUUCGCCUGUGACGAAGCGUGAGUGACGGUAAUGGGUAAAGAAGCACCGGCUAACUACGUG
Molecule: ribosomal RNA, 468 nt
Filed under: uncultured bacterium
Lineage: Bacteria
Description: partial 16S ribosomal RNA
Rfam family: Bacterial small subunit ribosomal RNA
Source: RNAcentral